RNAcentral lists this ribosomal RNA (462 nucleotides) under uncultured bacterium. RNAcentral describes it as "partial 16S ribosomal RNA". It matches the Rfam family "Bacterial small subunit ribosomal RNA", at positions 28 to 506 of the family's 1533-position model. The record is from RNAcentral.
GAUGAACGCUGACAGAAUGCUUAACACAUGCAAGUCUUUGGCGAAGCUGUGCUUGCACAGCCUAGCCAAGGCGGACGGGUGAGUAACGCGUAAGGAACUUGCCCUGCAGUCAGGGAUAACAGACGGAAACGACUGAUAAGACCUGGUAAAGUCAGGCGGACUCAUGUCCAGCCUGAUGAAAAGAGAUGCUGCAGGAGAGCCUUGCGUCCUAUUAGCUUGUUGGUGGGGUAACGGCCCACCAAGGCGAUGAUAGGUAGCCGGCCUGAGAGGGUGGACGGCCACAAGGGGACUGAGAUACGGCCCCUACUCCUACGGGAGGCAGCAGUGGGGAAUAUGGGACAAUGGGGGCAAACCUGAGACAGCAAUGCGGUGUGCACGAUGAAGGUUUUCGGAUGGUAAAGUGCUUUCAGCAGGGAAGAAAAAAAGGACGGGACCUGCAGAAGAAGCGACGGCGAAAUACGU